Physcomitrium patens is the source of this 844-nucleotide RNA transcript. RefSeq lists it as uncharacterized. The record is from RefSeq and is a predicted model, not a curated record. Lineage: Eukaryota; Viridiplantae; Streptophyta; Bryopsida; Funariales; Funariaceae.
UCAAAAGUAUAGGGUGCCAUCAUGACAACCGGCCUAGACUGAGCAUGGCUGAGGGACCGUAAAGGACCCAAUAGCCAACCCAUGAGCGAGACCAUGUCCAAAGGGGGCUAGAAAUAAGCUCGCAAAAUCUGAUUGUGAUGAUGGCCUUGACUGCCUGUUUUACUGGUUUCACGCAUGAUGGACGACGCAGCGCGCGGCGCUCUGCCUCCUUCAGCUUCGACAAUUUUCGAAGUGGUGCCGUCGCUGCGGACGCACCCAAUCAUCAGGAUGGUGCUGAACUCAGGACUAGAUCAAUGGAGUGCCACACAACUGCACAGCGAGCGAGAGAGAGGGGGGGGGGGGGUGGGGGGCAAGCUCCCGGCGACUCAUUCCCGCCGCCCCUGUCGUCUCCGGCUGCUAGAUCUCUAUGCACGUCACUUGGUGUUGCAGCUCGAGACUCGGUGCAAUCUGACAGGACCGACUUGGUGACAUUCAUUCUUUUGCCGUAGCUUCGGAUGCGUGCAUUUGGACUUUGACGUGCUACUGUAAUUUCCUCCAUCUGCUGCUGCUGCUGCUAAAGGGAUCGGGACUAUGACGUCGCUCCAUGGAAUAAUUUAUCAAACCAGCUUGGCUGAAAGGACAACGAGGGAUUUCUCUUGAAAGCGAGACACCCGCAGAAUGGUUGACGAAGUAGUAAUUAAUACAGCUGCUAUCUGAUGUGAGAGAGAGAUAUAUACGCAGCCAGUAAAAAAAACAGAUCAAAUUUAGCAGAGUACUGGACGUGGCUGUAUGACACUGCAACAGCUUGGUGGAGAAAGAUAUUACAAUAUCCAGCUGAUGAAAUCCCGGAGAAAUUAAGUUGACC